This 499-nucleotide ribosomal RNA is filed under the name uncultured bacterium. RNAcentral describes it as "bacterial SSU rRNA". It matches the Rfam family "Bacterial small subunit ribosomal RNA", at positions 8 to 518 of the family's 1533-position model. The record is from RNAcentral.
AGAGUUUGAUUAUGGCUCAGGAUGAACGCUGGCGGCGUGCUUAACACAUGCAAGUCGAACGGAGAUUACUUUUAGCUUGCUAUUUGUAAUCUUAGUGGCGGACGGGUGAGUAACGCGUGGGUAACCUGCCUUAUACAGGGGGAUAACAGUCGGAAACGACUGCUAAUACCGCAUAAGCGCACAGUAUCGCAUGAUACAGUGUGAAAAGAUUUAUCGGUAUAAGAUGGACCCGCGUCUGAUUAGCUAGUUGGUGAGGUAACGGCCCACCAAGGCGACGAUCAGUAGCCGGCCUGAGAGGGUGAACGGCCACAUUGGGACUGAGACACGGCCCAAACUCCUACGGGAGGCAGCAGUGGGGAAUAUUGCACAAUGGGGGAAACCCUGAUGCAGCGACGCCGCGUGAGUGAAGAAGUAUUUCGGUAUGUAAAGCUCUAUCAGCAGGGAAGAAAAUGACGGUACCUGACUAAGAAGCCCCGGCUAACUACGUGCCAGCCGCUGC